UUAAUCUCGUUAAUAGAGUAUGACGACACGUUAGUGCCACCAUUUACGAUUAGUUCAGAUCAAUUACUUUUUUUCCGUCAACAUUAAACUCCUUGCAGAGGAUAAUAUGAGCAAAAAAUGUUUUUGUGCCACCAUAAACAAGUUACGGCAACACGGGAAACACCCGCCAGAAGCAGGAAACCAAAAUUUUUGUUCGCUGGACGCAAAAUAGGUCGACUGUCCCUCUAGUAAAAGAAAGCCAGUCUUCCCACCUUGUUUUUUUGGGGUUGUGGUAAUGAUCCUUCCGCAGGUUCACCUACGGAAA
This 304-nucleotide unclassified non-coding RNA is filed under the name uncultured fungus. RNAcentral describes it as "sequence contains ITS1". Lineage: Eukaryota; Fungi. The record is from RNAcentral.